Molecule: long non-coding RNA, 3691 nt
Filed under: Solanum tuberosum (potato)
Lineage: Eukaryota; Viridiplantae; Streptophyta; Magnoliopsida; Solanales; Solanaceae
Description: long non-coding RNA (STUB_LNC007599)
Source: RNAcentral
GUUAACCUUGCUAGGAAGGAAGAAACUUGAGGUGAGUUACGACUUGUUAUAACUUAAGUUCUUUCCUUAUGAAGUCAUUCCCAUAAAGUGUUGAUUAAAUGUAUCUAAAUGUUAGUGUGAGUUUAAUUGGAACAAGUGAGCUCACAUUGCUUAUCAUUGAAUAAGUUUAUCCACUGCUCUCUGUCUUCCUUUGUUUGCUUAUCUGUCUAGUGAAUAUUAAGGUUGUGUAUGCCUAUUUGUGCAUGAGUAGUUUGUGCUAACCUUGCCCAGCCCUAAAACAGUGCCUAAUUCCCCUAAAAACGCGACUGAGAAGGGAAAAUCUCACCCAUCCCAGUAUCAUGCAACGAGUGUGAGCCUCCACAAUUGUGUACUUCUCUUUCAUAGUGCUGAAAGCCAUAAUGUACCCUCUUAUGUUAUGACUAUGAUAAAGUUAAAAUGUUGAAAUUUUAAUGCAAACUUAAAUAACUGGUAACCGUAUAAAGGGUUACUAAUUUUGUCAUAACGAGGCAUAGCAUGAAUAGCAACCCUACAAAGGGUUACAAGUAACUAUUCAAAGGGUCACUAACAAUGAGACACAACAUGACCUGAUACAUAGUUGUUGACUAGGUUUCAAUAUUAGGGCUGUGAGAGAUGUCUAGAGAGAGAAACUCCUACUUCUCCCUAGAAGCUAGGAAGCAAAAGUUACCUUCGUACAAAGGUGUGUUGAAAUGGCCUGCACUUUCCCUAAAGGGAGAUUGCAGAAGGGUGGAUGAGGAUUUUGAACCCAUUUUCAGAAUUUCCAGAGAGCAUGUGGAGGCAUUAUGGCAAGGAAGGAUUUUUUUCAAUAGUUUUAGUGUACAAUUUCUUUAUAGUAUUCAAUGAUUUCCCCGUCAACUCGGUGUGGCUCUUGAGUGACUUCCGCUUGUACCAUGAGUUAGUCUAUGUUGUUAUAUAUUCUAUGUGCAUUGGUCAUCUUGUGAAAAAAAUUUGUGUUCUUGUCCCCUUCCUUUAGCCAUAAGGCUCUUAUUUUCUGUCUCCACAGGCUUUCUUCCCUCUUGAACAAAUUAUCAUACUUUAACAUGAUCUCUACCUUUUUUGUUAUCUCUUCUAUCUUCCCUAUUUGCAUCUAUUACUGCCAUCUGUUUAAGUAGUUUUUUCCUCUGGUUGCUCAGAUUCCUAGUAUCGCCUUUCCUCCGUUCCUUUAGCAUAAUUUUCACAGCUUUGAGUUUGGAUGCUAAGACAUGGGCAAGUCUUCCGAUGAAAGUGAAAGAAUCCCACCAACCAUUAACUGUGUCAAUAAAACCUUUUUUUUUUCAGCCACCAAUUUUCAAACUUGAAAUAGUUCUUGUUUCUCCCAAGAUCCACCCAACAAAGAUAAUGGAAUGUGGUAUGAACUCAAUCUUUGGAGGGGUAUUUGUUUUAAAUAUUAUUGAAAUUAGCAUCCAAUUCUUCUGAAAUUUGGAUCCUAUAAAUCCUGGAGGCAGCUUCCUAUUGAUCCCCUUUGAACCAGGUGUCGCCCAUGUAAGUAGCAUCCUUCGAUUGCAGAUCAAUUAACUUCUUGUCUUCAAUGUGAUUUGAGAAUUCCUUCAUGCCCUUUGUUCUCCCGUUACAGUUCUUCUCAGAAGUGACCCUCGCCACAUUGAAAUCCCCACAUAGAGCCCAUGGUCCCUCAAUCAGACUGCUCACUGAUCCUAUUUCUUCCCAAACCAACCUAUUUUCCUUGUAGCAAUUAGGAGCAUAUACUCUUGUUAAAUAUUAUUAUGAGAAACUCCUAUCCAGGGAGGAAUCAACUUUUCCACAAAGUUCGGUAUGGAUCCCCAGGGUACCUCAAAAAGUUUGUUUCUUCACUUGGUUAGCUAUGAGGGUGGUAAUCUUGAUGGCAGAUGAUUUGAGGAAGAAGAAGAUCACUUCUGUCAGUUGGUGUUUCAUGUGUAAAGAAUCUGGAGAAGACAUAAACCACCUUUUAUUACAUUAUUGGUUAACAUCUUCUUUGUGGAGAGAAAUUCUAAGAUGGUUUAGAGUUGAGUGAUAAUGUCGGGCACUGUGAAAGACUCGGUGGUUAGUCAGGCCUUUAGAAGACAGGAGAGAAGAAACAGAGAAGGGGAUGCUGCUUGGCACUCAUAUAGACAGUAUAGAGAGAGGAAUAGGAGAUCUUUUGAGAGCGUAGAGAAAAAAUUUGCUUAUUUGACAGACAGUCUCUUUGCUCUUAUUUCUUUUUGGUGCACCCAAGAGGUUCCAAUAGGUAGAGAGGAUUGGAUGGUUUUUGCAGAAAACCAUGUUCCUUUGUAACGUUCUCUACCUUUUGGUGAGCACUUUUUACACCCUAUCAAUGUGAAAAUUAUUACUUGAUAGAAAAAAAUAAAGGGUCACAAACAGCUGUACAAAUGGUUGCUAAUAUUGUCAUAACAAGGCACAUAAGAUUGGUGGUCAUAUAAAGGGACACCAGUAAUCAUAUAAAGGGUUACUAGUUGUCACAGUUGGGCACAAGAAAAGUUUAGUCGACUGAAACAACUUUAAAGAAAGUGAAAAGAAUGAAUAAAUGAACUAAGAUAUAAGUUUUAUGUUUUCCUGCUUCACUGUUGUACGAUACUUUAGGAUGAGUUACGAAUUGUUUCCUCUCUUAUCCCUUCAUUACCCACAUGUUUCUAUUCAUGGUCUUGUUUUGACUUUGGUGAGGAGAAUGUUGAGACUCAUUGAGUAACGCUAGUAGCGUAUUGACGUUCUCUUUGUGGAACCUGCAUUGACCUAUGUCAAUUAGGUCAAUGUAGACACAAGCUUCAUAGACAAGCAGACUACGAGCUAGGUUGCUUUAUUCCAGAAGUUGAUUUGGUGAGUUCUGACCUUGACCAUGGAGUUUCUCCUCUUUCAGUUAGAAAUUUUUUUGUUCUUUCUUUCCUUUUUUUUGAGCCAAUUUUUAUUUCAUUUAUUCAUUAAUCCAGCAUUUGUUCUGGGGAUUGGCAUUGGCCAGGAAAUCUAUGUCGUGUGCAUUCCCCUUGGUACUCCAAUAAGGCUUCAUAGACGUGUUUUUAGUUGGGUUAUGAUUGUUCACAUUACAUGGCAUCAUUUUCAAUAAUUUCUAGUUGUUUACAGAUUUGGAUAUAUUUUUGGAUUAUUUAAAAAUUGUUGGAAUAGAGUAUUGAUCCAAAAGUUUAGUUAUUUAUUUUAAAUGCACGUGGGGUAUGUGAUAUUAAUUAAUAAAGUACAGGUUAGAACUGUCAAGCUGAUUUGCUCGGCAAGUAAGGCACCAGGUGCCAGUUACGGCUUGUUUAGAAAAUGGGUCAUGACAGGACUUCCUUGAGUUGAGAUCAUCCAUGAGGUUGAAGUUAUCAAACUACCAAGUUCAGGGGUGAUAAUUAGGACCAAAAAUUGUUCAAGGUGGACAGAAUAAAUAGUGCCAAGUUCAGGGGGGUGGGGGUUCCCACUUCCCAAUGUAUUCUGCCAAAACAAAUUGCACAGCUUAGGAACAUAGAUGUACUAUUUCAAUCUAUCUCAGGUGAAGAUGAUUUGUCCUAUCAAAAGGCAUUCAAGAUUGACAAGAUGUGAAGAUGACAUCUAAGAACACUGAUCUGCAACUCGCAUCAUCUCAUGGGAGAAACUAUAAGAUUCUGGAUUUGUUUUAGUUUAUCCAGAAUGAUUGGCUCCAACUUUGACCUUGUAAUAGUGUGCUUUAUGAUACUCAGUCCUAUUAACUUUCUUUUAAAAUAUGGUGCCU